UUGAAACAUGUAGUAAGUGCCAGCACUACACGCCAAUGAAGACAAAGGCCCCAGAGAUGCGUCCCAUAAAGGUGAAGGAGCCGUUGGAACUUAUAGGAGUCGACUUGGUCGGUGGGGCAAGCCUGCAAGGAUCCUGACUGAUCACGGACGUGAGUUUUGUUCCUCGAUCAACGACGAACUCUGCAAGUUCUACGGGAUCCGGAGGAGUAUCACGUCUGCCUACCAUCCGCAGACUAAUGGACUGGCAGAGAGAAUUAACCAGACUCUAGAGACCAGGCUUUCCAAGCUCUGCAACGCGACCAAGACCGACUGGCCAAACUUCCUGGAUGAAGUCGCCUAUAGCAUCCGCACCCAAAAGCAGCGGACCACCGGGUUCACACCUUUCCGGUUGAUGUUUGCUCGUGAGCACCGGCCACUUCACCAGGAAGAAAUUACAUUUGCUCCUGAGGCUUCUGCACAACCAGAGGGAAGGAGUACCACACCAGAAUUUCUUUUUGUUACAGUUCUUUGAAGAACUUGUUGAACUGCCCUCUUCCGAGGACAUUGCGGAGUGUGUCAAAGAGCAGGACCAGAGGCGUGAAGAACUGCACUCCAAGCGGGAACAGAGAGUUGAAGCAGCCCAAGAAAAGCAGAAGGCUGAGUACAGGAACAGGAAAGCAAGAGGAGUGAAGACCUUCAGCUUCUCUGUAGGGAUGAAGGUUCUUAAAAGAAACCUUCGCAAUGAGACUCGGAAGGGUGGGAUAAUGGAGCAGAAGUGGACUGGUCCAUACAAAGUCCUUGACAUCGACUCCUCAAACCGUGUGGCACUUGAGGCUGUGAGCAAUGGGAAGAAGCUCAAGAGCCGUACUCCAUACAACAACCUGAGGCCAUUCCUCCAGAGCCAGUUGCACUGUGACAGACACUUAUUGGACCACAGAGAUGGACUGCAGCCCUCCAGCAUUCAGGGACCUGUGCAGCCAUCACCUGACACCUCACAGU
Long non-coding RNA from Eriocheir sinensis (Chinese mitten crab), 978 nucleotides. RefSeq lists it as uncharacterized. The record is from RefSeq and is a predicted model, not a curated record. Lineage: Eukaryota; Metazoa; Arthropoda; Malacostraca; Decapoda; Varunidae. The transcript has 8 exons.